RNAcentral lists this ribosomal RNA (374 nucleotides) under uncultured bacterium. RNAcentral's name for it is "bacterial SSU rRNA". It matches the Rfam family "Bacterial small subunit ribosomal RNA", at positions 525 to 896 of the family's 1533-position model. The record is from RNAcentral.
ACGUAGGGAGCGAGCGUUGUCCGGAAUUACUGGGCGUAAAGGGCGAGUAGGCGGAACACCAAGUAUGCUGUGAAAGCCCCCGGCUUAACCGGGGAGGGUCAGCGUAAACUGGUGAACUAGAGUGCAGUAGAGGCUAACAGAAUUCCCGGUGUAGUGGUGAAAUGCGUAGAUAUCGGGAGGAAUACCAGUGGCGAAGGCGGUUAGCUGGACUGUAACUGACGCUGAGGCGCGAAGGCUAGGGUAGCAAACAGGAUUAGAUACCCUGGUAGUCCUAGCAGUAAACGAUGGAUACUAGGUGUGCGGGGAGAAUGACCCCCUGCGUGCCGGAGCAAACGCAAUAAGUAUCCCGCCUGGGGAGUACGGUCGCAAGAUUA